UCAGCAAAUCAUCUGUCGCUGGCUCAAAGAAAUUUGGGAAAGAGGAAAGUCCGGGCAGCAAAGAGAGUCGUACUUCCUAACAGGAAGGUCUUUAUUUGGUGACGAAUAGGGAACAGAAAGUGCCACAGAAAGGAAAACUACCUUCGAUUCGUUCGGGGGAAAAGGUGAAAAGGUGGAGUAAGAGCCCACCGUUUCCGAUAGUAAUAUCGGGAUGCAAGGUAAACCUUACGAGCUGUAAGACCAUGUAAACUGAGGUUUGUUUUUACCUCAAGGUAAUUAACAUAAAGGGUUUCUCGCCCCACUCAGAGGGUAGGUUGCUUGAUCCUAAAAGUGAUUUUAGGACUAGAUAAAUGACAGAUAAAAAAGUUUUUUUAACUUUUUGAAACAGAACCCGGCUUAUGAUUUGCUUUUUUU
RNAcentral lists this RNase P RNA (414 nucleotides) under Flavobacteriia bacterium. RNAcentral's name for it is "RNase P RNA component class A". It matches the Rfam family "Bacterial RNase P class A". From Rfam's summary of the family: Ribonuclease P (RNase P) is a ubiquitous endoribonuclease, found in archaea, bacteria and eukarya as well as chloroplasts and mitochondria. Its best characterised activity is the generation of mature 5'-ends of tRNAs by cleaving the 5'-leader elements of precursor-tRNAs. Lineage: Bacteria; Pseudomonadati; Bacteroidota; Flavobacteriia. The record is from RNAcentral.